Molecule: ribosomal RNA, 747 nt
Filed under: Pleurotus eous
Lineage: Eukaryota; Fungi; Basidiomycota; Agaricomycetes; Agaricales; Pleurotaceae
Description: LSU rRNA
Rfam family: Eukaryotic large subunit ribosomal RNA
Source: RNAcentral
ACUGCGAGUGAAGCGGGAAAAGCUCAAAUUUAAAAUCUGGUGGUCUUUGGCCAUCCGAGUUGUAAUCUAGAGAAGUGUUAUCCGCGCUGGACCGUGUACAAGUCCCCUGGAAUGGGGCGUCAUAGAGGGUGAGAAUCCCGUCUUUGACACGGACUACCAGGGCUUUGUGAUGCACUCUCAAAGAGUCGAGUUGUUUGGGAAUGCAGCUCAAAAUGGGUGGUAAAUUCCAUCUAAAGCUAAAUAUUGGCGAGAGACCGAUAGCGAACAAGUACCGUGAGGGAAAGAUGAAAAGAACUUUGGAAAGAGAGUUAAACAGUACGUGAAAUUGUUGAAAGGGAAACGCUUGAAGUCAGUCGCGUCUGCCAGGGAUCAACCUUACUUUUGUGAGGCGUACUUCCUGGUUGAUGGGUCAGCAUCAGUUUUGGUCGCUGGAUAAAGGUCAGAGAAAUGUGGCACCUUCGGGUGUGUUAUAGUCUUUGAUCAGAUACAGUGGCUGGGACUGAGGAACUCAGCGCCGCAAGGCUGUCUUAGGAUGCUGGCAAAAUGGCUUUAAUCGACCCGUCUUGAAACACGGACCAAGGAGUCUAACAUGCCUGCGAGUGUUUGGGUGGAAAACCCGAGCGCGUAAUGAAAGUGAAAGUUGGGAUCCCUGUCAUGGGGAGCACCGACGCCCAUACCAGAAGUUUACGGACGGAUAUGCGGUAGAGCAUGUAUGUUGGGACCCGAAAGAUGGUGAACUAUGCCUGA